Molecule: ribosomal RNA, 490 nt
Filed under: uncultured bacterium
Lineage: Bacteria
Description: partial 16S ribosomal RNA
Rfam family: Bacterial small subunit ribosomal RNA
Source: RNAcentral
AGUGAACGCUGGCGGUAGGCCUAACACAUGCCAGUCGAACGGCAGCACAGUAAGAGCUUGCUCUUACGGGUGGCGAGUGGCGGACGGGUGAGGAAUACAUCGGAAUCUACUUUUUCGUGGGGGAUAACGUAGGGAAACUUACGCUAAUACCGCAUACGACCUACGGGUGAAAGCAGGGGAUCUUCGGACCUUGCGCGAUUGAAUGAGCCGAUGUCGGAUUAGCUAGUUGGCGGGGUAAAGGCCCACCAAGGCGACGAUCCGUAGCUGGUCUGAGAGGAUGAUCAGCCACACUGGAACUGAGACACGGUCCAGACUUCUACGGGAGGCAGCAGUGGGGAAUAUUGGACAAGGGGCGCAAGCCGGAUCCAGCCAUACCGCGUGGGGGAAGAAGGCCUUCGGGUUGUAAAGCCCUUUUGUUGGGAAAGAAAAGCAGCAGGUUAAUACCCCGCUGUUCUGACGGUACCCAAAGAAUAAGCACCGGCUAACUUCG